RNAcentral lists this long non-coding RNA (320 nucleotides) under Brassica napus (rape). RNAcentral describes it as "long non-coding RNA (BNAP_LNC004692)". The record is from RNAcentral. Lineage: Eukaryota; Viridiplantae; Streptophyta; Magnoliopsida; Brassicales; Brassicaceae.
UCAAAAGAAUCAAUGUUGGUGGAUUUUCGUAGCGUUUCCUUUUUCUUUUAUUUUUCCCUCCACUGUUAUUUAUUUAUCCCUCCACUGUUUACCUUAGUUUUUCACCGAGAGAUAUCCCAACUAGGCAACUAAAUAAAUAAUCAUCUAGUUAUUUGGAAAUAAAAUAACUACUAGAGUUUGAUCCGCACGGGUGUCCGACUAUUAAUUUUUUAUUUUUUUAUAAAUUAUUUAAAGAUAUUUUUAAACACAUAUAUUAUUUAGAUAUUUUUAGGUUUUUAUAAUCUAUUUGGAUCCGGAAUGAUCUGAGUCCGAACCCCGUC